GCCUGGGGGGCUCAGUGGGCUGAGCGUCUGAUUUCAGCUCAGGUCACGAUCUCAGGGUUCGUGGGUUCAAGCCCCGCGUCGGGCU
This 85-nucleotide transfer RNA is filed under the name Felis catus (domestic cat). It matches the Rfam family "tRNA". From Rfam's summary of the family: Transfer RNA (tRNA) molecules are approximately 80 nucleotides in length. Lineage: Eukaryota; Metazoa; Chordata; Mammalia; Carnivora; Felidae. The record is from Rfam by way of RNAcentral.